RNAcentral lists this ribosomal RNA (540 nucleotides) under uncultured Geobacteraceae bacterium. Its description in RNAcentral is "bacterial SSU rRNA". It matches the Rfam family "Bacterial small subunit ribosomal RNA", at positions 9 to 526 of the family's 1533-position model. The record is from RNAcentral. Lineage: Bacteria; Pseudomonadati; Thermodesulfobacteriota; Desulfuromonadia; Geobacterales; Geobacteraceae.
GAGUUUGAUCCUGGCUCAGAACGAACGCUGGCGGCGUGCCUAACACAUGCAAGUCGAACGGAUUUGAGGGGCUUGCUCCUCAAGUUAGUGGCGCACGGGUGAGUAACGCGUAGAUAAUCUGCCUGAUGAUCUGGGAUAACACUUCGAAAGAGGUGCUAAUACCGGAUAAGCCCACGGGGUCUUUGGAUUCUGCGGGAAAAGGGGGGGACUUUCGGGCCUUCUGUCAUCARAUGAGUCUGCGUACCAUUAGCUAGUUGGUAGGGUAAUGGCCUACCAAGGCUACGAUGGUUAGCUGGUUUGAGAGAAUGAUCAGCCACACUGGAACUGAGACACGGUCCAGACUCCUACGGGAGGCAGCAGUGAGGAAUCUUGCGCAAUGGGGGCAACCCUGACGCAGCAACGCCGCGUGAGUGAGGAAGGUCUUCGGAUCGUAAAGCUCUGUCGGAUGGAAAGAACCGCAUGGGGGUAAAUAGCCCCUGUGUCUGACGGUACCAUCAAAGGAAGCACCGGCUAACUCCGUGCCAGCAGCCGCGGUAAUAC